RNAcentral lists this transfer RNA (77 nucleotides) under Clostridia bacterium. Its description in RNAcentral is "tRNA-Asn". It matches the Rfam family "tRNA". From Rfam's summary of the family: Transfer RNA (tRNA) molecules are approximately 80 nucleotides in length. The record is from RNAcentral. Lineage: Bacteria; Bacillati; Bacillota; Clostridia.
GGAUCUGUAGCUCAGCUGGCAGUAGCACGGAGCUGUUAACUCCGGGGUCGUGGGUUCAAAUCCCACCGGGUCCUCCA